UAAAAUACUUGGAGCCAUCAAACAGCUGCUCUGCAGAUUCUAGAAUUCGAAGAGUUGGUGGACUGCCGAACGCGCCCUCAGUGUAUACAUAACCCGAGGUUUUUGUGGACCCGAAGUAAGAAACUGAGAACCGCGCGACCACCCCCCAAACUACUCCCGAAAUCCGAUCCCCUCGGUCCACUAGCUUCUCCCUUUCCGCCUCUCAAUCCGCGCGGCGACGAAGGGGAGGGAAUCCCCUAGGUUUUUAGCUGCGAGCGUCGCCGGCGGGCAGUCGGGGGCCGCGACGGCCAAGGGGAACGGGAGUGCGGACCGUCGCGGACCUCCGCAGAGGGGCAGCGUGUCAACAGCCGAAGCACCAGCAUUCCACCCGAGCGACCACGCACGCGAGGAAUAGGAGGGGAAGCUCUCGGUGGCGCGUGGCGGCGAACGUCUCCGUUAGAAGGUAGUCAACUGGGACAGCUUCGAGAUGCAUGUUCACAAGAGGGUGAAAGACCAUGUUAGCUCACCGGAUGUUGCCAAGCAGAUCCCCAUUGAGAGGUUGAGGUGACCAUCCGCGACCAGUGCGAAGGCAGCCAAAGGACAUGCAUCUGUUGGUGAUGGGAUCUGUUAGGAUGCCAACCAAAGUGCUCAACAUCACCACCAAGAAGUCCCCUUGUGUCGCAAGGUGACCUUGUGGUGGUGGUGCGCCGCCUUGCUUCCGGCGCUAACGAGAUGGUGGGGUUGUUGCCGUGGUUACCCGUGGUUAGUUACUCUUUUUCAGUACAACAUGGAAUUCAAAUGGGUUGUACUACUUGUGGUUAUUUUACUUGGACUACAAGUUCAGUCUGUUUGCUGUCCACAAGAGCCAACAUCUUCAUCAUGUAACAACUCCACAAUAGUGUCUAAAGACCCCUGUGUCAACACCACUACCGUUUGCUCCAAGAUAGAAUCCCUCAAAGACAAGCUUAUCCCUCGGUUCUCUUUCGUUAUCUCCUAUAAUAUUGUUUUGUCCAAUCUUGCGUAUCAAAGAUUUGAAGCCGGAUCCACAAUCUGAUUCACAGACAUUCUUUUGGUGGUU
Molecule: non-coding RNA, 1057 nt
Organism: Aegilops tauschii subsp. strangulata
Lineage: Eukaryota; Viridiplantae; Streptophyta; Magnoliopsida; Poales; Poaceae
Source: RefSeq, a predicted model, not a curated record